AACGUAGGUUCCGAGCGUUAUCCGGAUUUACUGGGCGUAAAGCGCGUUCAGGCGGUUUGGCAAGUCGGGCAUGAAAUCUCUCGGCUCAACCGGGAAAGGUUGUCCGAUACUGCUGGACUUGAGGGCAGUAGAGGGUGGUGGAAUUCCGGGUGUAGUGGUGAAAUGCGUAGAUAUCCGGAGGAACACCAGUGGCGAAAGCGGCCACCUGGACUGUACCUGACGCUGACACGCGAAAGCUAGGGGAGCGAACGGG
Molecule: ribosomal RNA, 253 nt
Filed under: uncultured bacterium
Lineage: Bacteria
Description: partial 16S ribosomal RNA
Rfam family: Bacterial small subunit ribosomal RNA
Source: RNAcentral